GCUAAACGCGAAGAACCUUACCUGGCCUUGACAUGCUGAGAACUUUCCAGAGAUGGAUUGGUGCCUUCGGGAACUCAGACACAGGUGCUGCAUGGCUGUCGUCGGCUCGUGUCGUGAGAUGUUGGGUUAAGUCCCGUAACGAGCGCAACCCUUGUCCUUAGUUACCAGCACGUUAUGGUGGGCACUCUAAGGAGACUGCCGGUGACAACCGGAGGAAGGUGGGGAUGACGUCAAGUCAUCAUGGCCCUCACGGCCAGGGCUACACACGUGCUACAAUGGUCGGUACAGAGGGUUGCCAAGCCGCGAGGUGGAGCUAAUCUCACAAAACCGAUCGUAGUCCGGAUCGCAGUCUGCAACUCGACUGCGUGAAGUCGGAAUCGCUAGUAAUCGUGAAUCAGAAUGUCACGGUGAAUACGUUCCCGGGUCUUGUACACACCG
RNAcentral lists this ribosomal RNA (438 nucleotides) under uncultured bacterium. RNAcentral describes it as "bacterial SSU rRNA". It matches the Rfam family "Bacterial small subunit ribosomal RNA", at positions 954 to 1392 of the family's 1533-position model. The record is from RNAcentral.